CCUACGGGAGGCAGCAGUAGGGAAUCUUCCGCAAUGGACGCAAGUCUGACGGAGCAACGCCGCGUGAGUGACGAAGGUUUUCGGAUCGUAAAACUCUGUUGUGAGGGAAGAACAAGUACCAACUAACUACUGGUACCUUGACGGUACCUCACCAGAAAGCCACGGCUAACUACGUGCCAGCAGCCGCGGUAAUACGUAGGUGGCAAGCGUUGUCCGGAAUUAUUGGGCGUAAAGCGCGCGCAGGCGGUCCCUUAAGUCUGAUGUGAAAGCCCACGGCUCAACCGUGGAGGGUCAUUGGAAACUGGGGGACUUGAGUGCAGAAGAGGAAAGUGGAAUUCCAUGUGUAGCGGUGAAAUGCGUAGAGAUGUGGAGGAACACCAGUGGCGAAGGCGACUUUCUGGUCUGUAACUGACGCUGAGGCGCGAAAGCGUGGGGAGCAAACAGGAUUAGAUACCCUGGUAGUCCACGCCGUAAACGAUGAGUGCUAAGUGUUAGGGGGUUUCCGCCCCUUAGUGCUGCAGCUAACGCAUUGAGCACUCCGCCUGGGGAGUACGGCCGCAAGGCUGAAACUCAAAUGAAUUGACGGGG
RNAcentral lists this ribosomal RNA (588 nucleotides) under uncultured Planomicrobium sp. RNAcentral's name for it is "bacterial SSU rRNA". It matches the Rfam family "Bacterial small subunit ribosomal RNA", at positions 338 to 918 of the family's 1533-position model. The record is from RNAcentral. Lineage: Bacteria; Bacillati; Bacillota; Bacilli; Caryophanales; Caryophanaceae.